UGACUUACCUGGCAGGGGCGAGACCAUGAUCAAGAAGGUGGUUCACUCAGGGCAAGGCUCAGCCAUUGCACUCCAGUUGUGCUGACCCCUGCGAAUUCCCCAAAUUUGGGAAUCUCAACUGCAUAAUUUCUGAUUAUGGGGUACUGCAUUUGUGCUCUCCCCUG
This is a small nuclear RNA of Trichomycterus rosablanca, 164 nucleotides long. RefSeq annotates it as U1 spliceosomal RNA. Lineage: Eukaryota; Metazoa; Chordata; Actinopteri; Siluriformes; Trichomycteridae. The transcript has a single exon. The record is from RefSeq and is a predicted model, not a curated record.